ACUGAGCUUUUAUACAUGUAAUUCUUCCUCAUCAAUGCUCUUUUUUUCAUACAACUUUGCAGCGUGAGUGAGGGAGAAAAAACAAACUUUUUUGUCAGCCAUAUUAUUCCUGACAAAUGUAUUGUGGAGAAAAUAUAAUACGGGCAUUUGUAUUAUCAUAUUACAACGUAGUACUGAUAUUUAAUCGCGUUAACGAUAAUAUUAUUUUCUCCUUCGGUUUCCGUAUCUAUAAAUAUUAUAAAAACGAGACCCAUACGCGUGCGUAAAACUCAAAUUUCAACUAAUUCGCGAAAUUCUAUUGGCAUUAGUCGCGUUAUUCUGUUGUUCGGUUUGAUAUUUGAAACAAAUUAAAGGAAACGCAUGAACGUAUACGCUACCCACACAAGCAGAAUAACUGUCGUUAUUAUUAUGCAUAAUUAAU
This is a non-coding RNA of Cinara cedri, 421 nucleotides long. The record is from the annotation of a GenBank genome assembly. Lineage: Eukaryota; Metazoa; Arthropoda; Insecta; Hemiptera; Aphididae.